This 429-nucleotide ribosomal RNA is filed under the name Gemmatimonadota bacterium. RNAcentral describes it as "Gemmatimonadetes bacterium partial 16S ribosomal RNA". It matches the Rfam family "Bacterial small subunit ribosomal RNA", at positions 355 to 776 of the family's 1533-position model. Lineage: Bacteria; Pseudomonadati; Gemmatimonadota. The record is from RNAcentral.
UAGGGAAUCUUCGGCAAUGGACGAAAGUCUGCCCGAGCAACGCCGCGUGAGGGAAGAAGGUUUUCGGAUCGUAAAACUCUGUUGUUAGAGAAGAACAAGGACGUUAGUAACUGAACGUCCCCUGACGGUAUCUAACCAGAAAGCCACGGCUAACUACGUGCCAGCAGCCGCGGUAAUACGUAGGUGGCAAGCGUUGUCCGGAUUUAUUGGGCGUAAAGCGAGCGCAGGCGGUUUCUUAAGUCUGAUGUGAAAGCCCCCGGCUCAACCGGGGAGGGUCAUUGGAAACUGGGAGACUUGAGUGCAGAAGAGGAGAGUGGAAUUCCAUGUGUAGCGGUGAAAUGCGUAGAUAUAUGGAGGAACACCAGUGGCGAAGGCGGCUCUCUGGUCUGUAACUGACGCUGAGGCUCGAAAGCGUGGGGAGCAAACAGG